GAGCUGGUUUCCUUUGAGCAGGCAUGGUGUCCCUCUGAUGGCUUCACUGUCUAAACAGCGGCGCGAGAGGAAAAGCUUGCUUGUAACUGGUGCUGCUUGGCUAAAACCUGAGUGGCACUUUUAAGAGAGAGCAACAGGC
Molecule: small nucleolar RNA, 139 nt
Organism: Pelodiscus sinensis (Chinese soft-shelled turtle)
Lineage: Eukaryota; Metazoa; Chordata; Testudines; Trionychidae
Source: Rfam